UUUGUGGGGACUGUUGGCUGGAUCGAGGCCUCCUCGCCGGCUGGUAUAGUUGGAUUGGAGGCGUCGGACCAGGCUUCAUUCCUUGUAAA
RNAcentral lists this microRNA precursor (89 nucleotides) under Brachypodium distachyon (stiff brome). RNAcentral describes it as "pre miRNA mir-166". It matches the Rfam family "mir-166 microRNA precursor family". Rfam says of the family: This family represents the plant microRNA (miRNA) precursor mir-166. Animal miRNAs are transcribed as ~70nt precursors and subsequently processed by the Dicer enzyme to give a ~22nt product. The record is from Rfam by way of RNAcentral. Lineage: Eukaryota; Viridiplantae; Streptophyta; Magnoliopsida; Poales; Poaceae.